This is a long non-coding RNA of Bactrocera neohumeralis, 1492 nucleotides long. RefSeq lists it as uncharacterized. NCBI's taxonomy places the organism in Eukaryota, Metazoa, Arthropoda, Insecta, Diptera, Tephritidae. The transcript is spliced from 3 exons. The record is from RefSeq and is a predicted model, not a curated record.
UAUGACGUAAAUAAAAUGUUAUGUUGGUAUGUGCAUACAGUAAAAGCCGUAAAAAUGUCAAGCUCGGCAAAGCAUAUGUAUGUAAGAGAAGGAAAACUGCGAACGGAAUCGAACAUUAAAUAUUUUUAAUUGUAUGAAGCAGAAUUGUAUUAAAGAAAAGUGAAAUUUUGUAUGAUGCCUGUGGAAAUCCCUAACAAAACAAUAUAACCUGGAUAUCGGCACAAGUUAUUAGAGAAAGUUAUGGAUCAAUUGCGUCCAUUUUUUGGUAAUGUACCCUGAGAUGUUUGGCUGACGGUGUAAUAGGCCAACGUUUGGCAAAGACCGAGUAUAUUACGAUAAUAUCUAUCUCCAAAGGAAUGUUGCAUAUUUUGGAAUUGUGUUUUGCUUUUACAGAAAUAUUUAUGGGCUUACCGACAGAUAUUUUUAUAAAGAAAAACUGUAACGAUCUCUUUUUGGUUCAUGCUGUUAGAUAAACAUAGCUCUUAUACCCUACGUAACAUGUUGCGUGGGUACGGAAACCAUAGAGACAGUUAAUUUGCCACAUAUACCGUUACAGUUGCUUGGCCGACGUUAUCCAUCUCUUUGUACAACGUAUUGAGGUUUACUACAAAGAAAGCAGCCUUCGAUAUUAUGAGAUGUCCAAAUUACCCCUAAUGAAUUAUUGGAAGAUUUGGUUGAUUUCUGAAGAACGACCUUUACCAGAAAUUAUUAUUAUCCACUCCACGCCCCCGGUUACAAAUUAACUACAAACUUUUUAUUUACUCUCCUUGUCGAAGAUGUACGUAGGUGUCACGACCAGUAUAUAUCUCUUCCAUAGAUUAAAAGAGACUUGGAGGAAAACGUUUUAGAUACUGUGUAGUCAAAUAGCCGAAACUGGACCUGGUCUUUUCAACGGAGUGGAGGUCUUCUUCUGAUUCCCCGGUGGGUACCGCGUCGAAUACUCUCAGAGCUGGAGUGUUUUCAUGCAUUCGGACGACAUGACGUAGCCAGCGUAGCCAUAUCUCUUAACUUUCUGAACUAUGGUAAUGUCGUCGCAUAUCUGAUCGUUCCAUCGAAUGCGGUAUCCACCGUUGUCAAUGCGCAAAGGACCAUAAAUGUUCAGCAGAAAGUUCGUAACACCGACAGAUGUUGUCAUCGUCUAUGCCUCUGCACCAAAUAGCAGAAGGGGGAUGAUGAGUAACUUAUAGAUUUUGAUCUUUGUUCGUCGUGAGGGGAAUUUACUUCUCAAUUGUCUACUCAGUCCGCAGUAACACCCGUUGGCAUGAGUUAUUCUGGUUUGGAUUUCGAUGCUGACAUUGUUAUCAAUUAAAAUACUUACAUUCUUCUGGAAUUAAAAAAAAAUUGUUUCACCUCAACUUCACUUUUAUGUUAAAUUUUGAUAAACCUUACGAUUUGUACAUAAAUACUAAUUAUUUGUGUGUUGCAAUAUUUUUUAUUUGAUUUAUUUUUAUAUAGUAUACAUAUACACAGUCAAAAAUCCAUUUACGACACU